GCGGUAGUGGCCAAAUGGUUAAGGCACAAGAUUGUGAAUCUUGGGAUUGCGGGUUCGAGUCCCGUCUAUCGCCCCA
This 76-nucleotide transfer RNA is filed under the name Cytophagia bacterium. RNAcentral describes it as "tRNA-His". It matches the Rfam family "tRNA". From Rfam's summary of the family: Transfer RNA (tRNA) molecules are approximately 80 nucleotides in length. The record is from RNAcentral. Lineage: Bacteria; Pseudomonadati; Bacteroidota; Cytophagia.